Molecule: ribosomal RNA, 252 nt
Filed under: uncultured bacterium
Lineage: Bacteria
Description: partial 16S ribosomal RNA
Rfam family: Bacterial small subunit ribosomal RNA
Source: RNAcentral
UACGUAGGUCCCGAGCGUUGUCCGGAUUUAUUGGGCGUAAAGCGAGCGCAGGUGGUUUAUUAAGUCUGGUGUAAAAGGCAGUGGCUCAACCAUUGUAUGCAUUGGAAACUGGUAGACUUGAGUGCAGGAGAGGAGAGUGGAACUCCAUGUGUAGCGGUGAAAUACGUAGAUAUAUGGAGGAACACCGGUGGCGAAAGCGGCUCUCUGGCCUGUAACUGACACUGAGGCUCGAAAGCGUGGGGAGCAAACAGG